Long non-coding RNA from Eubalaena glacialis (North Atlantic right whale), 420 nucleotides. RefSeq lists it as uncharacterized. NCBI's taxonomy places the organism in Eukaryota, Metazoa, Chordata, Mammalia, Artiodactyla, Balaenidae. The transcript has 3 exons. The record is from RefSeq and is a predicted model, not a curated record.
UUCUUGCUCCCGGAGGCUGCGGAAACCUGGUAGUGUCGCAAGGACAAGACUGAGUGCAUGGAUCUAGCAAGCAACCUAUUGUCAAGGAGGAGCCAGCAAGCCAAGAUUAUGAUGACACCUUGGUCUCAGAAGACACAAGCUUUGAAGGAAAAGCCCUAUAAAGAAAUAGCCCUGGGCUUCCCUGGUGGCGCAGUGGUUGAGAGUCUGCCUGCCGAUGCAGGGGACACGGGUUUGAGCCCUGGUCCGGGAAGAUCCCACAUGCCGCGGAGCAACUAAGCCCGUGCGCCACAACUAUUGAGCCUGUGCGUCUGGAGCCGUGCUCCGCAAUGAGAGGCCGUGACAGUGAGAGGCCCGCGCACUGCGAUGAAGAGUGGCCCCCGCUCGCCACAACUGGAGAAAGCCCUCGCACAGAAACGAAGA